GAUGAACGCUGGCGGCGUGCCUAAUACAUGCAAGUCGAGCGAACGGACGAGAAGCUUGCCUCUCUGAUGUUAGCGGCGGACGGGUGAGUAACACGUGGAUAACCUACCUAUAAGACUGGGAUAACUUCGGGAAGCCGGAGCUAAUACCGGAUAAUAUUUUGAACCGCAUGGUUCAAAAGUAAAAGACGGUCUUGCUGUCACUUAUAGAUGGAUCCGCGCUGCAUUAGCUAGUUGGUAAGGUAACGGCUUACCAAGGCAACGAUGCAUAGCCGACCUGAGAGGGUGAUCGGCCACACUGGAACUGAGACACGGUCCAGACUCCUACGGGAGGCAGCAGUAGGGAAUCUUCCGCAAUGGGCGAAAGCCUGACGGAGCAACGCCGCGUGAGUGAUGAAGGUCUUCGGAUCGUAAAACUCUGUUAUUAGGGAAGAACAUAUGUGUAAGUAACUGUGCACAUCUUGACGGUACCUAAUCAGAAAGCCACGGCUAACUACGUG
RNAcentral lists this ribosomal RNA (497 nucleotides) under uncultured bacterium. RNAcentral's name for it is "partial 16S ribosomal RNA". It matches the Rfam family "Bacterial small subunit ribosomal RNA", at positions 28 to 507 of the family's 1533-position model. The record is from RNAcentral.